CAACCGAGAUUCCCCCAGUAGCGGCGAGCGAACGGGGAGGAGCCCAGAGCCUGAAUCAGCAUGUGUGUUAGUGGAAGCGUCUGGAAAGGCGCGCGAUACAGGGUGACAGCCCCGUACACAAAAGCGCAUGUGCUGUGAGCUCGAUGAGUAGGGCGGGACACGUGGUAUCCUGUCUGAAUAUGGGGGGACCAUCCUCCAAGGCUAAAUACUCCUGACUGACCGAUAGUGAACCAGUACCGUGAGGGAAAGGCGAAAAGAACCCCGGCGAGGGGAGUGAAAAAGAACCUGAAACCGUGUACGUACAAGCAGUGGGA
This 314-nucleotide ribosomal RNA is filed under the name Salmonella enterica subsp. enterica serovar Kentucky. RNAcentral describes it as "partial 23S ribosomal RNA". It matches the Rfam family "Bacterial large subunit ribosomal RNA", at positions 226 to 578 of the family's 2925-position model. Lineage: Bacteria; Pseudomonadati; Pseudomonadota; Gammaproteobacteria; Enterobacterales; Enterobacteriaceae. The record is from RNAcentral.